RNAcentral lists this ribosomal RNA (383 nucleotides) under uncultured eukaryote. RNAcentral's name for it is "partial small subunit ribosomal RNA". It matches the Rfam family "Eukaryotic small subunit ribosomal RNA", at positions 587 to 972 of the family's 1831-position model. The record is from RNAcentral.
AGCUCCAGUAGCGUACAUUAAAGUUGUUGCAGUUAAAAAGCUCGUAGUUGGACUUCUGCUGAAGAUAACCGGGGUCUGCUUUUGAAGUAGUAUCUUGGUGUGCCUUCAGCAUCAUUCUAAAAAACGUUUCUGUACUUUACUGUUCGGGGCGGUAUUUAGAACUUUUACUUUGAGAAAAUUAGAGUGUUUCAAGCAGGCUGACGUCUUGAAUACUGCAGCAUGGAAUAAUAAAAUAGGAUUUUAGUUCUACUUUGUUGGUUUUAAGAACUGAAUUAAUGAUUAAUAGGGACAGUUGGGGGCAUUCGUAUUUAACUGUCAGAGGUGAAAUUCUUAAAUUUGUUAAAGACGAACUACUGCGAAAGCACUUGCCAAAGAUGUUUUCA